UACGAAGGGGGCUAGCGUUGCUCGGAAUUACUGGGCGUAAAGGGAGCGUAGGCGGAUAGUUUAGUCAGAGGUGAAAGCCCAGGGCUCAACCUUGGAAUUGCCUUUGAUACUGGCUAUCUUGAGUACGGAAGAGGUAUGUGGAACUCCGAGUGUAGAGGUGAAAUUCGUAGAUAUUCGGAAGAACACCAGUGGCGAAGGCGACAUACUGGUCCGUUACUGACGCUGAGGCUCGAAAGCGUGGGGAGCAAAC
RNAcentral lists this ribosomal RNA (250 nucleotides) under uncultured bacterium. Its description in RNAcentral is "partial 16S ribosomal RNA". It matches the Rfam family "Bacterial small subunit ribosomal RNA", at positions 524 to 773 of the family's 1533-position model. The record is from RNAcentral.